UUCACGCGUGAUCCUUCUUCCCCUCGAGCCUUGCUCUAGCGAUUUCUCCUCCCGAUCUUCCGCCGUUGCCUCCACUCGAUCGUCGACGCCGGUUGCUUUGACACGCGUAGCAGUUGCCAUCCAACUGCGAGUUGCCGGCGCUCCACUUGCGCUAAGUUUUCGCGCGUGCCCUAGAGCCACCGUCAGGUCGCCUUUCCUUCUCGAUCUGAUGGCGCCGAGGGUACGACUUGAUCGUCGCUGAUCGCAUGGGAUCUGGUAUUGACAUCGUGUCUUCGAUGCUUGUUGUGUCGUUCUAUUACCAUCGCCGAUCGUUGCCACUGGACCGAGCCAAACGCCAUUUAAUCGCCGGUGUGGUUGUAGCCUUAACCGACCUUUUGCUUGUCUGGAUUUCCACGGCUACAGUGACAAGUUUUUCCCACUUCCUUCCAUCUCCGGUAGUGAUUCCUUGCCUUGCGGGAAUCUUGAAGAAAUGCCUUGAGAGUUCUUGUCUCCUUUGUUUGUGCCGGUGUCUCCCUAUCCUCUGCCCCAGCACAUUGCUGCAGCGACAACCUAAUUCCAUUCAGGAGAGAUCUUGGAUAUGGUAUAAGGGUAAGUCAAGUUCAAUAUUGAUUAACAUGGAUUGAUUUCAUACUUUGAUGUUGGGAUUAGCUAUGUGACUGAUCAGUGUUGCUCCGAUGAGGAUUAAACUAUGGGAGGUUAGCUGAGCAGAGAAUAGAGUUUCAGUGAAGGGAAGAAUUCUGGUGAUAUUUGUUUUGGGAGAUUAGCAACCCCACCUUGCACCGACUACCAAUUCUCAGCAGCCAACGUUUCUAGUUAUGGAUCAUCGGUUGAGGCAUCAGACUUAGGACUUGGAUUUGGGACGAGCGUCUUGACGUGGGAUUUCAGGACGUGAUCUAUGUAUUAAGGCGAG
Molecule: long non-coding RNA, 910 nt
Organism: Zingiber officinale
Lineage: Eukaryota; Viridiplantae; Streptophyta; Magnoliopsida; Zingiberales; Zingiberaceae
Exons: 4
Source: RefSeq, a predicted model, not a curated record